This is a long non-coding RNA of Neofelis nebulosa (Clouded leopard), 436 nucleotides long. RefSeq lists it as uncharacterized. The transcript has 2 exons. Lineage: Eukaryota; Metazoa; Chordata; Mammalia; Carnivora; Felidae. The record is from RefSeq and is a predicted model, not a curated record.
GAUGUCGGGCCGAGAAGGGCUGAGGAGGGUACUGCAGUUCGGGCGGGAAGGCUGAAGUGAGAAACGGGAGCCGGUGCCUGUCGAGGUUUCUCUUCACUCAGGCCUGUGUGUGCGGGACCCCGUGGUCGUGAACCAGAGAUAGAGCAAGAAGGCACAAGCGAGCAAGGGACAGAGAGAGAGAAGAGGAGCUCUCCAGAAGCAGGGUUCGAGUUCAUCCAAAGCAGGGUUCGUGCUCACCUGAAGCGGGGCUUGAGCUCACCCGAAGCAGGGCUCAAGCUCACCCUAUGCGGGACUUGAACUCAUGAGCCAUGAGAUCAUGACCUGAGCCAAAGUCAGAUACCUAACCGACUGAGCCACCCAGAUGCCUAUCUUGUAACAAUUCUUAAAUUAAAAUGUAUUUUGAUUGAUUUAGUAAAGGGACACCUUCUACCUUUUA